AUUCAUCGCACUAAUCGUGAAUCGCAGUUGAGUACAAGAUACUUUCUUUCGUUCCACAAAAGAAUAAAUAAAACAAAACAGACCUCAGAGUAGCCAUAUGAAUAUGACGAUGAUGAUGAACUCACAAAAUUUUCCUUAAACUAGAAUUUACAGCAAAAAAAAAUACAAAGAGAAUAACUUCAAUUUCCCUCAUAACUUGCACAUCA
Molecule: unclassified non-coding RNA, 206 nt
Filed under: Hevea brasiliensis (rubber tree)
Lineage: Eukaryota; Viridiplantae; Streptophyta; Magnoliopsida; Malpighiales; Euphorbiaceae
Source: RNAcentral